CCCCCUUUUUUGUAGAUGUGUAGUAUUAGAUGGUGGGCUCAAGCUUGAAGCCAUCAAAUUGAAGAGGUGGAGGUGGAAGGGUGUCUGGUUGGUGUACUACAACCCUCCUUGCUGGCUGUGGAUGCUGGGAGGAGACAGGACUGCCUUAUGAAGCCAAGUCAACCAGUGAUACAUGCACACUUGUAUCCUGGUGAUAAUUGGAGAGAUGUCUGCCAAUAAGUCUUUUGUGCAAUAUGAGGACAUCUGAAUAAGCAGCUCCCCCUACAGCCUCCUGUAAGCACCUCCCGACAGUACCACAGUCCCACUCGUGGAUGAGAGUUGAAACAACAAUUAAGUAGAACAAAGGAAGCUUUUAUCAGAAAAAAGUACAUUUGGGAUGUGUCCACUUAUUAAAGGCACUUUUUUCUUGUUUAAAAACAAAAGUGAGAAAUAAACUAAUGCAGGUAAAACAGAAAUAUUUCCUGGAUUUUUGCUUCUGUGGUAGUGAGGUGCAGCAGGGUGUGUACUGAUGAGGGCAGCCUGGCUCCUUCAUUUAAAUCUGGUCAAACUUUGAGGUCAUAUUGUGAGUUGCUAACCUCUGGAUUAGCUCGCAUGUCAUCGCACUGAAGAUCUCAACAACCUUAACCUUAGUCUCAGUGUUUUCAUCCUGAAUUGAUUGAAUAAAAAUGGCAGUUUUAUAAAAGUUACACAUCCCUAUUUUUGCCGUUUCCCGUCUUGGCUGCUUCAGUCAUGUUGGAAAUAUCACAUCCACUAGCAAGCUGACUCUGAGGGAGACCAUCAGCCUCAGCAGUGUAGGGGAGAAAGGUGCACGUGGAAUACACAUUACGGUAUUCUACCAAUUAUGUAAGUGUUAAGAAAAAAUGAUAUCUCUAUGUUUUGAUAAUAGUUUUCAAUAUCUAAUAUUUGAGAUAAUUCUGAUCUUUUUGUCAUUAAUCUCUUGGAUGAGCCCCCAACUGUGCAUGGCCCCCUGGGCAAGUGUCCAGCAUGCCCUUUGGAUGAUCCAGCCCAGCCUGGAUAGCAAACAAAAGUGAUUGUCUGUU
Molecule: long non-coding RNA, 1040 nt
Organism: Oreochromis aureus
Lineage: Eukaryota; Metazoa; Chordata; Actinopteri; Cichliformes; Cichlidae
Source: Ensembl